Molecule: non-coding RNA, 265 nt
Filed under: uncultured Erwinia sp.
Lineage: Bacteria; Pseudomonadati; Pseudomonadota; Gammaproteobacteria; Enterobacterales; Erwiniaceae
Source: RNAcentral
UCAUCAGGAUGAUGUGCCGGUACAAUUGAAAACAGUUUGAUGUGAUAAGUCAGAUUUCAAGGAUGAAAAUAAGGACACCUUCAGGAUGGAGAACGAUAGCCAAUCAGGAUGAUGGCGAGUAAGGAAGCUAAGGAUCAAUGUCAGGAAGACAUUUGCGCAGGAUAGCGUGUGGAAGAGUUAUCAGGGAUGAGGCAGGGAGCAAAAUCGUAGCAGGAUAGCUGCAAACGAACCGGGAGCACUGUAAUUUACAGUGCUCCUUUUUUUG